Molecule: long non-coding RNA, 278 nt
Organism: Hydra vulgaris (swiftwater hydra)
Lineage: Eukaryota; Metazoa; Cnidaria; Hydrozoa; Anthoathecata; Hydridae
Source: RefSeq, a predicted model, not a curated record
CUUUAAACAAGAUAUGCUAAUAUGCUGUAUGGUGGAAAAAUUCCUUUGGACGCUUGCAAUAAUCAAACUAGGAAAUAAAACAAUUCACUCUAUGGACCCUAUGAGAGAACAGAUAAAUUCCAUCAAAAGGAGAAGUGUAAUGGAAUAGUUGUUACUUACAACAAAGAUAAGGUGUUUUAGAAAAGUUUGAAAUAUUAACAUUUCCACAUGCCAUACAAGCUGAAGGUAUAACAUUUGGAGUAUUCUGCCUUAAGGUAACUUUAAGAGUCUUAACUGUA